RNAcentral lists this long non-coding RNA (519 nucleotides) under Triticum aestivum (bread wheat). Its description in RNAcentral is "long non-coding RNA (TAES_LNC025050)". The record is from RNAcentral. Lineage: Eukaryota; Viridiplantae; Streptophyta; Magnoliopsida; Poales; Poaceae.
GCAGUAUUUUGAAGAACUGUUCACAAUCAAGUUGAUCAAUACUUUAUUACUCUUUUGAGCACAUGGACAUUGAACCUGCCUUACACCCAAGACCUUUUUAGCACAUUAUAAAACAUUGUAUCCAUCAUUCGUUAGACAUUCAGUUAUAGCAGCAACAAAGGCCACCAUGGUCCGGUGUGCAGUGGCCUUUUUUGAAUUCAAAAAAAUGCACAAUGAUCAAUGCAUGGCUGGUCGGAUAAAGUGUCUCCUUCACAACUUUUAAAUUUGAUGCACAAGUAGGGAAGGGGGGUUGGUUUUGGAUCUACACACAAAAAAAUAUAGCAAAGUUAGAAUAUAUAAAAUACUUAAGUUACUUGGGUUAGUUUGAAUUACAUAUGCAAAGGCAUGUGCGCUUACACAAAGUGCGCAUAAACAAAUCCCAAAACAAGCAGGAAGGUUGAUUAGAUAGAGAAAUGGUUGUACCUGCAUGACAUGAGAAUAGAGUAGACAUCAUCACAAGAGCUACCAAGCAUAGAGCUC